UACGUAGGGGGCAAGCGUUGUCCGGAUUUAUUGGGCGUAAAGAGCGUGUAGGCGGCCAUGUAGGUCCGUUGUGAAAACUCGAGGCUCAACCUCGAGACGCCGAUGGAAACCAUGUGGCUAGAGUCCGGAAGAGGAGAGUGGAAUUCCUGGUGUAGCGGUGAAAUGCGCAGAUAUCAGGAGGAACACCAAUAGCGAAGGCAGCUCGCUGGGACGUUACUGACGCUGAGGCGCGAAAGCGUGGGGAGCAAACAGG
This 253-nucleotide ribosomal RNA is filed under the name uncultured bacterium. Its description in RNAcentral is "partial 16S ribosomal RNA". It matches the Rfam family "Bacterial small subunit ribosomal RNA", at positions 524 to 776 of the family's 1533-position model. The record is from RNAcentral.